Molecule: long non-coding RNA, 1986 nt
Filed under: Manihot esculenta (cassava)
Lineage: Eukaryota; Viridiplantae; Streptophyta; Magnoliopsida; Malpighiales; Euphorbiaceae
Description: long non-coding RNA (MESC_LNC000877)
Source: RNAcentral
UUCACCGGAGCAGGAAAAAGCUGCAGGCAGGCCACCAGAACUAGAAGCCGAAUCCAUUGUGUUAUCUCCAUCCUCCUCUUGCCUUUGGUAAUUUUUCUUUCUCCCGCAGAAGCAAAUCCUUUUUUAUUGUUUUUAUUUGGUGCACAAACAAAUGCACGACCAACGUACCUUAUAAAGGCAUAGUUUUUGCUGCCAUGUCGUUUUAGGCGAUUAGGUAGAAGCAAGAAUACUUGAAGGAAAAGCUCUCCUUGUGGGAUAGGGAAUGAAACAUUAUAAAGAAAAUAAAAGUGAUUUCUUGUGUAUUACACAAAAUUAUCUAUCAACUAAAGACAUUUUUGAAGCGAAGCUAUGUAGUUGAUCCUCCUGUCCUGAUGCCUAUUUUUGAAUUGACUAGGUCCAGGUGGUCAGCAACUGGGUUUGGUCCAACCGUAUUGGGUGAAGUACACCCGAUCCCCAUCUAGGAAUUAACCCAAAAAGUAAAAUUGCAAGCUAUUGCAUUUAGCUUUUUUUUUUUUUCCUUUUCUUUUCACAUUUUUUUAAGGUCAAAGGCAAGAAUUAGCAUUUAGCUCACUUCUGUGCUGUUUUCCUUUUUUUUUUUUUUAAUAAUUAUUGGAAAAUAUUUGUUCACAUUUCAAAUCUAAUUAAUAGGUAUUCGCGUACACACUAAUAUGCUAAAAUUAUAAAUUUAUUUUUAAAUCUCACCCCCAAAUUAACUAGAGCUAAGCUCAAUUAUUUCACAACUUCAACUUCUUAGGUUUUACCAAAGUUUCCCAUCAUCAAAAAAAAAAAAAAGGCCUUAAAAUUUUCUGUGCAAGAAUUAAAUUUGAUACAAAGAACUAGUGUGUGUGAAAGUAAGAUCAAGCAACGUUAUUCCUAAUGCUGACCAACAUAGUUUGAUAAAAUUCAAAAAUUUUGGUACCUUAAAAUUUUGAAAUCAAUUGAAGCUACUGCUUAAACCAAUCUUCAAGCCCUAAUUUCUGGUAUAUAAUAAGCCCUAGAGUGAAAUCAAACCCUAACAAUCCAUUAUUACCAUUGCAAUCCUUAACAUCGUCAUCAUCUUCCUUGCAGAAAGCAUAAGAUGCAAUCUCGCAAACUGCGACAACUUUUUCAUAUAAAGUUACUUCAAAUUUUGGUCAAACUUCAAAAUGAGUGCUAUCCAACCAAAAUGGUGACACAGAGAUAGUUCUCAACAACACAAAUGCUGAUGAUUUUGUCGGACCAAUAUAGAAAAAGAUAAUCAUAUUUAUUUAUAUAAGCUUAAUUUUAUUGCUAUAAAAAUUAAUAUUAAUAAAAAUAUAAAUAAUUGCUGCUAAAAUAUUUGUUAUAGCCAGUAACUAUUGUUUCAGUAUCAAACACAAUUUUAUUGUAAAAUAUUAUUACUACAAUUUUAUAUCAUAAAUUUAUAGUAAAAUUUUUUAUAUUUUUAUAGCAAAAAUUUUUGCCAAUAAUUUUAGCAUUCUUGUAAUGACCAUAUGUCAAUAUUUUUGAGGGUUUAAUUAAUUAAUUAUUAAAAUGAAAGAUGGUAAAAGAUAGAAAAGUUGAAGUUUUUAGAUGAAAUCGUUUUGGAAGAUGAUGGUAGAUGAAAGAUACAUAUGAAAGAAAAAGUCCAAGUCUGGUUGAGAAAUGGUUAUCAUGGAAUUUGCUAGGGAGGAAAGUAUUAGGGUGGGUAACACCUCCAUCUAACCUCUUCACUUAGGUAAUUCCACUUUGUGGAACAUUAAUGACACGGCCGCUAAUUGCUGUUACUUGAUUGCUACUGCAAUAUCUUAAUUUCUUCUAGAUAAUUGGUUCUAAAGCAUCAUCACAAAAUGAUGUUUGUUCUGAUUUCAUUUCAAAUAGAUUUCAGGACCCAAAUCCCUCUCAUCACCAUGCUUCCAAGCGAUCGUCUCCAACCACUGAGCAUCUGACCAUUGCCUUCAUGCAUGCUUUCCAACUACUGUAUAUAUAUCCAUCUCUAUCACAUGCUAACUCUUCUUUUAUUCACAC